Molecule: ribosomal RNA, 620 nt
Filed under: uncultured Nostocoides sp.
Lineage: Bacteria; Bacillati; Actinomycetota; Actinomycetes; Micrococcales; Intrasporangiaceae
Description: bacterial SSU rRNA
Rfam family: Bacterial small subunit ribosomal RNA
Source: RNAcentral
UCAGCGCCGAAGAAGCGAGAGUGACGGUAGGCGCAGAAGAAGCACCGGCUAACUACGUGCCAGCAGCCGCGGUAAUACGUAGGGUGCGAGCGUUGUCCGGAAUUAUUGGGCGUAAAGAGCUUGUAGGCGGUUUGUCGCGUCUGCUGUGAAAACCCAGGGCUUAACCCUGGGCCUGCAGUGGGUACGGGCAGACUAGAGUGUGGUAGGGGAGACUGGAAUUCCUGGUGUAGCGGUGAAAUGCGCAGAUAUCAGGAGGAACACCGAUGGCGAAGGCAGGUCUCUGGGCCACUACUGACGCUGAGAAGCGAAAGCAUGGGGAGCGAACAGGAUUAGAUACCCUGGUAGUCCAUGCCGUAAACGUUGGGCGCUAGGUGUGGGACUCAUUCCACGAGUUCCGUGCCGCAGCUAACGCAUUAAGCGCCCCGCCUGGGGAGUACGGCCGCAAGGCUAAAACUCAAAGGAAUUGACGGGGGCCCGCACAAGCGGCGGAGCAUGCGGAUUAAUUCGAUGCAACGCGAAGAACCUUACCAAGGCUUGACAUAUACCGGAAACAUCUGGAGACAGGUGCCCCGCAAGGUCGGUAUACAGGUGGUGCAUGGUUGUCGUCAGCUCGUGUCGUG